Chrysemys picta bellii (western painted turtle) is the source of this 5359-nucleotide non-coding RNA. NCBI's taxonomy places the organism in Eukaryota, Metazoa, Chordata, Testudines, Emydidae. The record is from RefSeq and is a predicted model, not a curated record.
UGGACUGGACCAUGAGCGGAGCCCGUCUGUGGCGGCGCAUCGCUGUCUAGUUUCAGUUUCGUUCUGAGGGGCGCGGGGCGGCGCUGGCUGCACCUCGCUUGAGCGGCGCCAUCUGGGUUUGUGCAGCGCGGCGGCCCCGGAGCAGAGUGGAGCGAGCCCGCCGCGCCCCCCGGGCCAGCGCAGCCCGGUCCGGCCCCGCGAGCCGACAUGGGCCUCGCCUGCCGCCUCUCCGCGCUCGGGCUGCUGCUGAGCGCCCUGCUGGUAUGCACCCGCUCUCAAGAUCGUGAGUCUGUGUUUGCCAUUGUGGGAGAAGAUUUUACUUUUUCACCAAAAGUAAACGGAACUAUAAGAGAAAUUACCUGGAUGAAAAACAAAGAUAAAGCGGCUGAAUGGGAACAGGAUGCUAAGUCACCUGUGUAUUAUUAUAGCUUAGCAGAAAGAGGAGUGCUUGAGACAUCGUCUGGCAAUUUGACCAUCAAAAAGUUAAACAUUGGUGAUGCUGCAGAGUAUGAAGCACAAGUUCUGCCUGUUGGCGUUGACCAGCUCCAAUACACAAAAUUUGUACUUGCCGUAUUGGAUCCUCCUCCACCAUCAGUAUUAAAUUGCAGCAUCACUAAUGGUCAGAUUAGAAUAUCAUGUGAGAUACAGUUCUCAAAGGAUGUGCGCUACAGUUGGUAUCGGGAUGACAGAAAAAUUGACGCUAAUAGUCCUGUUCUCGAACUUAAAGGAAAUGUCAACCCUUCAGAGAAAGUUUUGUGUGUCAGAGAAGUCUCCAAAACAAAAAUCAACAACUCAAUCUCUCUGAGCACAUGUAUCCCAGAAAAUCCUGAAAGUCUUUCAAGGGGUAGAGCUGGUUUAAUAGCAUUUUUUGUUAUUAUUAUUAUUCUCCUUCUAUUCAUGGGAGCACUCGUCGUUCUGUGGAAAAGAGGUUUGCUUUCCAACAUUCUCGAUCAGAUACCCACAAAGCACUCAGCUGUAUAUAAGUCUGAAGAACAACACCUUACAGACGAUGACAGAUUCCCCGAAGAAAGUGGCCAAAAAGAAGACUAUGAAAAUAUCUCAGGCAGGAAUCAGGAGCCAGAGGAAAAGAAGAACUCAAAAGAGAGUCUAUCAAUGAACCAGGCUGACAAUUCCUCCAAUCAAGAGAAAACAGAGGAAAAGAAGAAGUCAAAAGAGACUUUAUCAACGAACCAGGAUGACAAUUCCUCCAAUCAAGAGAAUCCAGGUGUGUUGCCAUCACACUCAGGCCAGAGUUAAGUGGGGGAAGUGAGACACAUGUGCUGUAUGGCAGUGACUAGCUGCUUGCCAGGGAAGAAGACGUGCAUGGCUGUGAAGUGGCCAGUGGAGUGAAAUGGUAGUGAAGUGUUGGGAGGGGAUGAGGUGACUCAGGUAUUGAAUUCACUAGAAGUUCUUUCAGUGCUUGAACAUGUUGCAUUUCACUGUUGGGCUGGCUCAAUUUGGUAACAGUAUUGUUCUCCCUCUAAAGAUUGCAGACUGAAAACCUGCCCUGGGAAAGGGGCAUGGCAUGAUGUGAUAUUAGGACAUGAGAGCUUUGUGCCAAAAUGUUUUAGUUAAUACAAACAACAACCAAUUUUAACAGUCUGGGGGGAAAAAACUCUCUUCUAAUGAUUGGGUUUCACUUCCAUGGUGUCUAUGAUGCCAUAAUCCUACAAAUUCUUCCACCUGAAUGUGCCAUGUAAAUUAACAUGUGGAAUUAAAAAAAAAAAUCAGGCCCCCAUUAUACAUCAUAAUGAAGUGAGAAAGGGCACAAACUUGUUACACACUCUGGAAAGUAAUUAUUUUAAAAGAUUAUGAAACUAUCAAGUAACUGGCAUGUACUUUCGCUGUAAUUCUUUUCUACAGCCUGUGUAUUUCUGUGCAAUUGCUGAAGAUUGUUCCCAGGCGAAUCAAAGAGAAGGGUAGGCUGCUUAGCAAAGAAAGAGCAGUUACUCUUUAUCCAUACCAAUAACCUGGGUUUCAGCAAGGAGUGGAGAAACAGGAAUGAGAGGAGGUUUAAGGGUUAUUGGUGUUUUUUUAUAUGCAAUCUGUUAUAAAUGUGUGGUGCUUCAUAAAGCAGCAUUCCAAAGGUUUAAUAACAGCUCUUUACAAUUCUGUGGUACCUUAGAUUAGAUUCAGAUGAGGCAGACAGUGUGUCUGGGAAUCAGUGCACAGAACUGGGAAUCAGGAGACCUGGGUUCUCUUCCUGACUAUCACUUGCUCACUGUGUGAUCUUAUUAGGUAGGUUACUACUUCUAUGUGUGCCUCACACUCCCAGUCUGUAAAAUGGGGAUAAUAAAAUGAUCUUUAUGAAAUGCUUAGAGAACCUCCAGUGAAAGAGGAAAUAUAAAUAUAAAGUAUUAUGAUAGAUCCUGGCUCCUAGUCCAGUGCAUUAGCCAUGCUAUACUCUCCCUUUUCUUUGGGUACAUCUAUGGUGCAGCUGGAGGUGUAAUUUCCAGCUCGGAUAAACAUGCGUUCACUUGCUUUGAUCGAUUUAGCUAGCUAAAAAUAGAGUGCACCUGCGGUGGCCUGGGCGGUGGCCUGGACUAGACUCCUGAGUACAGUCCUGUCUGAGAGCCUACCUACGUACUCGGGGCAGCUAACCCGUCUCUGCCGCCUACAUGGCCACAGCUGUGUUGCUAUUUUUUAGUGUGCUAGGUCAAUCGGAGCUCUUGAGCUCAAUCAUAUCUCCCCGAGCUGGAAAGAUACAUCACCAGCUGCAGUGGAGACAUCACCUUAGAAGUUUUAGAAGAGAAAUCUCAUCUUCACCACACUAAGUGAUGGCUUGAGAACAUUGCUGGAAAAGGGGUGCUGGUGAGCUCCAUGAAAGUUGCCAAGCAGACUUAGAAAGGAAUGUAUUUAUUUUCCUUGUUUUUUGCAAAGCAUGAAUCAAAAACCAAAUCUGUACCAUAAGCAAUAUGACAUCACCUAAAUAAGGCAUGUCAAUAAUCCAGUAAAAUCUCUUCCCUUCAGUUCUACUUUCAUGCACUUUGACACACUUCGGGCCUGAUUUUUUUUCUUUUCAGAUGUGCUGAGCACCUCAGCUCCCAUUGAAUGUUGGUUGAGUUGCUGGUAAUCAGCACUUCUGAAAAUCUGGCCCUAGUUGGGAACCUAAAAAUUGAAGCAUCUAAACUUAGUGGCCACUUUUUAAAAUGUAAGCCAAAGUGACUUGCCAAAGUUACAUGUAAAGUCUGUGACAGACCCAGAAACAGAAUCCAGAUUUCUUGACACCCAUAACCACAAAACUUGCUUUCCUCUUUUGAUAUUGGAUACCAAUCCCUUAGCAUUCAUUGAAUGACACAUCUGACUAUACAAACUAGGUAACAAGAAAGUGUAACAAGCACAUAAAUUGAAUGAAACCGCUUUAAAAGCAAUGGGCCAGAUCUCAGGUUGGUAUAAAUCAGCACAGUUCUACUGAAGCCAUCAGGGAGUGUCUGGCCCAGCUGCCGGGAUCCUGCCCUGACUAGAGGGAGCUGCACCUGGAGGUAUGAUGGGGGUGUAACAGGGCAGACCAGUGGUAUGUUCCAAGAACUAUCCUGCCAGUGCUGUGCAUAAUAGUUGAGGUUGUGGUCGUGCAUUGUCUUGCACAUUUUGAUACUCCUUCAGGGGCUGAUCCAACUCUUAGUAAAGUCAUUGGAAAGAUUCCUGCUGUCACCGGUGGUAGUUGGAUGGGUCCUUAAAGGGCAGUUGGAAUCUCCUGUCUCUGUGACUCUAUCUUUUGUUAAGCCAGUCACAUGCUCUUGUUAUGAGUAGCUUGUUUUCACUAACCUCCUUCAAAGUCUCAUCUCUUUUUCCUUUGGGUAGAGUAGCACCCCCUCACCCCCCAGCCUUCCUGAAUGCUGGCCUCUUCAGUCAGUGUCUUACACCUGGGCAUCAACUCUGAUGGGUUCGGGUUUUUGUGCAGUCAGGUUACAUUAAUGUAGAGCACUAAUGAGUCAGGGCUGGUUAAUUUACUGCCCUGCCUUUCCACUCAAUGCAAGUGAGCUAUGUAGCAGUGCACCGAAACAAACACGUCCCACACAUCACAAAAUCGCUUAUUAGGUUGCUACUAAACCAGGUUUCCGUGGGAUGCUAUCCCAUGUGUCACAUUUUUUAUCCCUUUUUACGCAGGAGUUCCUGAGAGUAAAGAAAGAGUUUACCAUUAAAAAAACAAAAAACAAAUUGCCUUCCCAGUCUUAUUAAGAACACUUCAGAGUUUAAGGUUUUAGUAAUCAAGGUUCUCUUCUCCAUUUACGUUGGUGGUUUGUUUUUUGCAUUUUACUCCAUUUGGACAAGGGCUUGUCUCCAUUAGAAAGCCUUCAUGCUUUAACUAUACUGGCAUAGUUAAAGUGGGCAAAAAACCAAAACAGAUCCUUUAUGUGGAUUCACUUAUACCCGUAUAAAAGAGCUCAUACUGGUAUAGUUUAUUCUGGUUCACAAAGCAAAAUAAAUGAUAUUGGUAUCAGGCACCUUUAUCUGUGCAUAACUGCAUCCACGCACAGGCUUAUACUGGGUCUACUAUAUUAGUAAAGAAUCAGCCUCCUAAUCAAUAGUUAUUCCAGUAAAACUUUUCUAGUGUAGAACAUGUCCAAGAACAAACUAAUGAGUUUCACUCGUAUAUCUAAUUAGUAUCACAUUCUGAUUGUCAGGCACUAAUCCAAAGCCACAGUGCUUGGGGCUGAAAACACUGAGCCCUGGUCUACAUGCACAAGUUUUGCUGGCUGGCAGGAAGGUGAGAAAAUCACACACCCUAACUGACAUAACUCUGCUGGCAAAAACCCUAGUGUAGAUGCGGUUAUACUGGCACGUUCCUUUUGCCUGUAUAGCUUGUUUCAUUCAGGGACUUGUUAUAAGCUGCGUCUCCACUAGCAGGAUUUGCCAAUAUUGGUAGAUCUGUCCAGCUAUGCUAGCAAACCCUUUCUAGUGUAUAUAAGGGGGAGAUGCAAGUUAUUUCACAAAGUAUUUGUAUUAACACUAGGUUUUGUAAUAGCUACAACUAAAGCCUAAAUGUGAGCUCUAAACAGCCUGACAGUGUCCCAGAACAUGUAACUCUGCUCUUACUCAGGUGAACUCCCAUUGACUCUGUCUCAAUGAGACCUGAGUAAAAAUCUGAAUAAGUUGCUCAGUAUUUAACCCUUGAGUCAUAUUUAUAUAGCACCACAUAGAUACAUGGGGCUCUCCAAAAACAUGGGAAGAAAAGGGUUCUGCUGCAUUUUCGACAGAAACGGUGCAAACAGUUAAAGAUCAGUACUAGAUGGGAAUAGUCUGGGAGUGGAUCAAAAACACUGAGGUUUAAAAAGGUGUCGCUGAGUUCAUAGUAGAGGGUUGCACUGUUUUUAUUGUAUUGGUAUAGUUCAAGUGUGUGUGUGUAGACCGAGCUGGA